Molecule: ribosomal RNA, 2660 nt
Filed under: Escherichia coli
Lineage: Bacteria; Pseudomonadati; Pseudomonadota; Gammaproteobacteria; Enterobacterales; Enterobacteriaceae
Description: partial 23S ribosomal RNA
Rfam family: Bacterial large subunit ribosomal RNA
Source: RNAcentral
CGGGGAGGAGCCCAGAGCCUGAAUCAGUGUGUGUGUUAGUGGAAGCGUCUGGAAAGGCGCGCGAUACAGGGUGACAGCCCCGUACACAAAAAUGCACAUACUGUGAGCUCGAUGAGUAGGGCGGGACACGUGGUAUCCUGUCUGAAUAUGGGGGGACCAUCCUCCAAGGCUAAAUACUCCUGACUGACCGAUAGUGAACCAGUACCGUGAGGGAAAGGCGAAAAGAACCCCGGCGAGGGGAGUGAAAAAGAACCUGAAACCGUGUACGUACAAGCAGUGGGAGCCUCUUAAUGGGGUGACUGCGUACCUUUUGUAUAAUGGGUCAGCGACUUAUAUUCUGUAGCAAGGUUAACCGAAUAGGGGAGCCGAAGGGAAACCGAGUCUUAACUGGGCGUUAAGUUGCAGGGUAUAGACCCGAAACCCGGUGAUCUAGCCAUGGGCAGGUUGAAGGUUGGGUAACACUAACUGGAGGACCGAACCGACUAAUGUUGAAAAAUUAGCGGAUGACUUGUGGCUGGGGGUGAAAGGCCAAUCAAACCGGGAGAUAGCUGGUUCUCCCCGAAAGCUAUUUAGGUAGCGCCUCGUGAAUUCAUCUCCGGGGGUAGAGCACUGUUUCGGCAAGGGGGUCAUCCCGACUUACCAACCCGAUGCAAACUGCGAAUACCGGAGAAUGUUAUCACGGGAGACACACGGCGGGUGCUAACGUCCGUCGUGAAGAGGGAAACAACCCAGACCGCCAGCUAAGGUCCCAAAGUCAUGGUUAAGUGGGAAACGAUGUGGGAAGGCCCAGACAGCCAGGAUGUUGGCUUAGAAGCAGCCAUCAUUUAAAGAAAGCGUAAUAGCUCACUGGUCGAGUCGGCCUGCGCGGAAGAUGUAACGGGGCUAAACCAUGCACCGAAGCUGCGGCAGCGACACUAUGUGUUGUUGGGUAGGGGAGCGUUCUGUAAGCCUGUGAAGGUGUACUGUGAGGUAUGCUGGAGGUAUCAGAAGUGCGAAUGCUGACAUAAGUAACGAUAAAGCGGGUGAAAAGCCCGCUCGCCGGAAGACCAAGGGUUCCUGUCCAACGUUAAUCGGGGCAGGGUGAGUCGACCCCUAAGGCGAGGCCGAAAGGCGUAGUCGAUGGGAAACAGGUUAAUAUUCCUGUACUUGGUGUUACUGCGAAGGGGGGACGGAGAAGGCUAUGUUGGCCGGGCGACGGUUGUCCCGGUUUAAGCGUGUAGGCUGGUUUUCCAGGCAAAUCCGGAAAAUCAAGGCUGAGGCGUGAUGACGAGGCACUACGGUGCUGAAGCGACAAAUGCCCUGCUUCCAGGAAAAGCCUCUAAGCAUCAGGUAACAUCAAAUCGUACCCCAAACCGACACAGGUGGUCAGGUAGAGAAUACCAAGGCGCUUGAGAGAACUCGGGUGAAGGAACUAGGCAAAAUGGUGCCGUAACUUCGGGAGAAGGCACGCUGAUAUGUAGGUGAAGCGACUUGCUCGUGGAGCUGAAAUCAGUCGAAGAUACCAGCUGGCUGCAACUGUUUAUUAAAAACACAGCACUGUGCAAACACGAAAGUGGACGUAUACGGUGUGACGCCUGCCCGGUGCCGGAAGGUUAAUUGAUGGGGUUAGCGGUAACGCGAAGCUCUUGAUCGAAGCCCCGGUAAACGGCGGCCGUAACUAUAACGGUCCUAAGGUAGCGAAAUUCCUUGUCGGGUAAGUUCCGACCUGCACGAAUGGCGUAAUGAUGGCCAGGCUGUCUCCACCCGAGACUCAGUGAAAUUGAACUCGCUGUGAAGAUGCAGUGUACCCGCGGCAAGACGGAAAGACCCCGUGAACCUUUACUAUAGCUUGACACUGAACAUUGAGCCUUGAUGUGUAGGAUAGGUGGGAGGCUUUGAAGUGUGGACGCCAGUCUGCAUGGAGCCGACCUUGAAAUACCACCCUUUAAUGUUUGAUGUUCUAACGUGGGCCCCUUACCGGGGUUGCGGACAGUGUCUGGUGGGUAGUUUGACUGGGGCGGUCUCCUCCUAAAGAGUAACGGAGGAGCACGAAGGUUGGCUAAUCCUGGUCGGACAUCAGGAGGUUAGUGCAAUGGCAUAAGCCAGCUUGACUGCGAGCGUGACGGCGCGAGCAGGUGCGAAAGCAGGUCAUAGUGAUCCGGUGGUUCUGAAUGGAAGGGCCAUCGCUCAACGGAUAAAAGGUACUCCGGGGAUAACAGGCUGAUACCGCCCAAGAGUUCAUAUCGACGGCGGUGUUUGGCACCUCGAUGUCGGCUCAUCACAUCCUGGGGCUGAAGUAGGUCCCAAGGGUAUGGCUGUUCGCCAUUUAAAGUGGUACGCGAGCUGGGUUUAGAACGUCGUGAGACAGUUCGGUCCCUAUCUGCCGUGGGCGCUGGAGAACUGAGGGGGGCUGCUCCUAGUACGAGAGGACCGGAGUGGACGCAUCACUGGUGUUCGGGUUGUCAUGCCAAUGGCACUGCCCGGUAGCUAAAUGCGGAAGAGAUAAGUGCUGAAAGCAUCUAAGCACGAAACUUGCCCCGAGAUGAGUUCUCCCUGACUCCUUGAGAGUCCUGAAGGAACGUUGAAGACGACGACGUUGAUAGGCCGGGUGUGUAAGCGCAGCGAUGCGUUGAGCUAACCGGUACUAAUGAACCGUGAGGCUUAACCUUACAACGCCGAAG